This is an RNA transcript of Elaeis guineensis (African oil palm), 1203 nucleotides long. RefSeq lists it as uncharacterized. The record is from RefSeq and is a predicted model, not a curated record. NCBI's taxonomy places the organism in Eukaryota, Viridiplantae, Streptophyta, Magnoliopsida, Arecales, Arecaceae.
GGCCGUCGAUCAUGUACCUCAUAAAGAAAAACCAGCGGUCCGGCGGUGAUGGCAGGACGUUGAGGCCGCCCACCGUUCCGCCCGCAGCGCCGCCGUGCACGGCGGUGGAGCCACGUUGGGGAAGCUGCUGUCCUCCCUCGACCGCCGGAAGCUGUACCGGGACGUCAUGCAGGCGCUCCGCUCCGGCCUCCGUGACGCCUCGGCCGAUUUCUCCUUCCUGAGGCUCAGAGGCCUCCGGAACCUUCUCAAGUCCCUCCGAUCCAUCGCCGACUCUGAUACCACCAUCCUUUUCUUUCGUCACUCCCAAUCCAUUCCCCAGCUCCAAGUGGUUCCAGUUCUGUUUAAGACUAGUUUACGACAAUUAGAAGAUUGUCCUAUGGUGAAUGCGGACCAUAGAUUUGGGGUGGAGCCUCUGAAGAUAAAUAGCAAUGCUACUGACUCUGAAGUUGCUCUUGCUCUUAGAGUAUUCGAAGGAUGUUGUCUGCUCCACUUAGGUUGUGCAGCUUUGGCUCACCAGCAUAAGGCUAUCAAGGUGCUUAUAAAAAUAUUAUCAACCCGAGGAAUGCUUGAGCAGGGAGCAUGCUUGGAUGCACUAAUAUCAUUGUUGUUAGAUUCUCCAGCUAACCAGAAGGAUUUUGAGGCAUGCCAUGGUAUAAAGAAAAUUGCAGAGCUCAUGAAAGACAAGCAAGGGGAUGAUAAUCUAAGGUUAAAAUGUGGGGAGUUCUUGCUGUUACUUACCGGGCAUGUACAUGGAAGAAGGGAACCCACCCCUUUGGCAACCAUACUAGAAGAAAUAAACGAAAUUUUAGGUGAAAAAUGUACAUCUUUUAUAUGGGCAGCUAGCCAGUUUGGCUCAACCCUAGACCGAGAUAAAAGACAAACUGCUCUGUGCACCCAAGCGCACCAAGUUCUAGAGUUGUUGGAGCUGUACCAAUGAAGAUGUCAUGUCAUACAUCAGCCUUUUGUUGUAAACAGACCGACAGUUUCUACUUUCUAACAGCUACAAUUUUUAGUUUUCUUACCUUAUAUCCACGGCUCAUGAAAAUUUAAUCAGCAUCAAGCUGCGCAUCUUCACUAAUUUGCACUAAAAAAUUUUGGUAAAAACUUUUGGUAAGGAUGUGCUUCUGGGCUGAGUAGCUGAUUACUUAUAUGUAGUUGUACAGAAAUUUAACCAUAUCAAAUAUCGAUAAGAUUAUUCUUUUA